GGGAGAUACCAUGAUCAAGAAGGUGGUUCACCCAGGGCGAGCUCCAUCUCGGCCACCGCAGCAGCCGGUACCCAGGCCGCGGUGCCACGUGGCUGGCAGGUUCUUGUACACGGCCCGGCUGUACGGGAUGAAGCACAGGCCCAGCUGGAGGUGACGGGCCAGGCGACAGUAUGCAGCCAGUGCCAAGACCAGCAGAGGGGUCACCAAGAGGAAGCCCACCACCAGUAGAGCCACACAGCCUCCGUCAGUCAGCAGGUCUGAGCAGUAGGGGGUCGUCCCAUGAGGGCGGACCUGUAAAGACAACAGAAGGACAUAAUGACACGGCAAAAGGUUGUUGAUGAGCUCCAUCUCGGCCACCGCAGCAGCCGGUGCACAGGCCGCGGUGUCGCGUGGCUGGCAGGUUCUUGUACACGGCCCGGCUGUACGGGAUGAAGCACAGGCCCAGCUGGAGGUGUCGGGCCAGGCGACAGUAUGCAGCCAGUGCCAAGACCAGCAGAGGGGUCACCAAGAGGAAGCCCACCACCAGUAGAGCCACACAGCCUCCGUCAGUCAGCAGGUCUGUGCAGUAGGGGGUCGUCCCAUGAGGGCGGACCUGUAAAGACAACAGAAGGACAUAAUGACACGGCAAAAGGUUGUUGAUGAGGUCCUGGUUAAUCCCCCUCUAAGCUGCUGUCACAUGAGGUCUAACUGUGAGGGCAGGAGAACAGAGAGAAUCCUGAUCUCUCCGGUCAUUAAGGAGGUCCUCAGCCAACAGAAAUGCCAUUGAGUGGCAAAGGAAGCCAAACACCACCAUGACGAUGGCUGGCGUCAGGAUGGUGCCAAACACCAGUCCAGCGAGGCAGGCAUUGAUCGCAGCAAUCAGCAGAUUCUGAGCUGUUACCAGUACGGAGCAGGCCCAGCAGUCCAGGGACCCCCUUAACUCCAGAGGAGCUUCACUGCCCCCACCACCACAUUCUGCUGCAGAAUACGGAGGAGGAGUUUUGGUUAUGGCUGAGGAGGUGCAGGAGGGGAGCUCUGUCACCGGGAGGAGGAGGAGGCGGCGGCCUGGU
Long non-coding RNA from Hippoglossus stenolepis (Pacific halibut), 1049 nucleotides. RefSeq lists it as uncharacterized. The record is from RefSeq and is a predicted model, not a curated record. The transcript is spliced from 6 exons. Lineage: Eukaryota; Metazoa; Chordata; Actinopteri; Pleuronectiformes; Pleuronectidae.